Long non-coding RNA from Tympanuchus pallidicinctus (lesser prairie-chicken), 1776 nucleotides. RefSeq lists it as uncharacterized. NCBI's taxonomy places the organism in Eukaryota, Metazoa, Chordata, Aves, Galliformes, Phasianidae. The transcript is spliced from 5 exons. The record is from RefSeq and is a predicted model, not a curated record.
CCCAGCAUCACCCCCCACAUCAUCCCAGGGUCAGCUCAGUGUUACCCUCAGUGUCACUCUAUCAGUACUGAAAUUUGUGCUCCCCUAUCUAUUAGCAAUUUUACCCAAUGCCUUUGAGGACAGACUUCAAUCAAAAUCCGCGUGCCAUUGUCGCUCAUCCUUUGAUCAAACUCCCCUUGCCGGACAGGCAGACCCAAUCACCUGCUUGUAAUCAGUCUUUUGUUGUUGUUUACAGCCUGAAGCAGUGAUGGAGCACCUGGUGAGGGGUGUGGGCAGCCCUGCCAGCACAGGUGGAAGCAAUUUGCCUGUGGGACCGGAUAGGGCUGAGCUUGGCUCCACCCCCUCCCUGCCCAUAUUUAAGGGCUGGGAACAGCCAGGGCAGCAUUCAGCUUGGGAUCUGCCUCCAUGGGAGCAUUGGGAGCCAGUUCUGCUCGUUGGAAUGGGGGCUGUGAUCUUUCCUGUUUUUGGGGCAUCCUGACCACAUUUGAGUGCUGGCAGAUGUAAGGGCAGCGUUGAUCUCUGGAGGCUGUCUCCUGUGGAGCAUGGGGACUUCACCUGACUGCCUCGACUUCUCAAAUACCACUGAGAGUGGCUCGGUGACUGCAGCACUGAAUUCCCUCAGAGCUCUGGGACUCGUCUCAUCAGGACCCAAAGACUCCUGGAUGCUCGGGUCCUCAGGUGCUCCAGAACCUGAUCUCCCAUCACAGUGUGGGAUAGGGAGGGGUCUAUGGGACCGGCAUUGCUUCCUCAAUCCCCACCUACCAAACCAAAGGUGAGGGCGGUGUAUAAUGAGCAGUUAUCAGAGAAGAUGGAAGAUGGAUGUUGUUGGGUACCUCAGCCUUCUCCUUGUCUGUUGUUCCCAGCUCAGUGCUGCUGGUAAGCAGCAUCGUGUGCAGAGCGCAGCCACGUUGAUCAGAGAAAGGAGUGCAGGUUUGUGAAAGAGGCACAUCUGCAGGGCAGUGCCUUCAUUACUGCGUUGUGUCCCACAGGUGGCAGCAGGCUGCGGCGCUCCCGAGUGCCGUAACGACUGCAUGGAGAUGCGUGGCUCUUAUGGGAGCAGCAAGGAACCGGAAUCUGCAUUUCCUGGGAUGCCCGGAACCCCGCUUUGCUGGCUGGUAAUUGUCUGCCCAGCAGGUGGCAGCAGAGUUGCGUUGCUCCUGAGCGCUGUAAGGACAGCACGGAGAUGCGCGGCUCUUCAGGCAGCAGCAAGGAACCGGAAUCUGCAUUUCCUGGGAUGCCCGGAACCCCGCUUUGCUGGCCGGUAAUUGUCUGCCCAGCAGGUGAAGAUGCCUUCGACGCUUCCAGUCGAUGACUUCCCCCCUGCGACGCCAUUGGCUUUCCAGGCCUCCCACACUCACCGCCAGCUCGGUUCGGUCAACCGUUACCCGAAUCCCCGCUCCGUUCCCUUUCCAUGAUCUUCCUGUCACUCUGCCACAAGCCCCUACCAAGGUCAUCGCAGGCAGCGUGUGGGAUGCGGCGCUCGGUCUCAUUGCAGUUCAUCCCAUCGGCCUCAGCCCAGCGAUCCAACCCACCCGCACCCUUCCUGAGGGCCCUUCUGCUCCCAGGCCAAUCCACGCUUCCUUCUGAUGCCAUCUGCGUUCCUUCCAGGCCAUUUUCAGACUCGUGCCCCUUUGUGGCCAUUUUGAGAGUUGCGCUGAUUUCAGCGUGUGCAUUCAAUUGACUUCAACCAAAUUGGCUUUAGCUUGACAUACAAUUAAUGUAAACCAAAUUGGCUUUAGCUUUACAUUCAAUUAAUGUAAACCAAAUUGGCUUUAG